RNAcentral lists this ribosomal RNA (3025 nucleotides) under Salmonella enterica subsp. enterica serovar Rubislaw str. SA20030553. Its description in RNAcentral is "bacterial LSU rRNA". It matches the Rfam family "Bacterial large subunit ribosomal RNA". Lineage: Bacteria; Pseudomonadati; Pseudomonadota; Gammaproteobacteria; Enterobacterales; Enterobacteriaceae. The record is from RNAcentral.
GGGUUGUGAGGUUAAGCGACUAAGCGUACACGGUGGAUGCCCUGGCAGUCAGAGGCGAUGAAGGGCGUGCUAAUCUGCGAUAAGCGCCGGUAAGGUGAUAUGAACCGUUAUAACCGGCGAUACCCGAAUGGGGAAACCCAGUGUGACUCGUCACACUAUCAUUAACUGAAUCCAUAGGUUAAUGAGGCGAACCGGGGGAACUGAAACAUCUAAGUACCCCGAGGAAAAGAAAUCAACCGAGAUUCCCCCAGUAGCGGCGAGCGAACGGGGAGGAGCCCAGAGCCUGAAUCAGCAUGUGUGUUAGUGGAAGCGUCUGGAAAGGCGCGCGAUACAGGGUGACAGCCCCGUACACAAAAGCGCAUGUGCUGUGAGCUCGAUGAGUAGGGCGGGACACGUGGUAUCCUGUCUGAAUAUGGGGGGACCAUCCUCCAAGGCUAAAUACUCCUGACUGACCGAUAGUGAACCAGUACCGUGAGGGAAAGGCGAAAAGAACCCCGGCGAGGGGAGUGAAAAAGAACCUGAAACCGUGUACGUACAAGCAGUGGGAGCCCCACCACUAAGCCAGUGGUGAACUCCACAUACGCAUCCUUUGCUGAGGAUGCGGUUAACGGAGCGAAAGCGACGUUCAACCGCAAAAGAAGCAGAGGGGGCUUAGUGGUGGGGUGACUGCGUACCUUUUGUAUAAUGGGUCAGCGACUUAUAUUCUGUAGCAAGGUUAACCGAAUAGGGGAGCCGGAGGGAAACCGAGUCUUAAUUGGGCGUUAAGUUGCAGGGUAUAGACCCGAAACCCGGUGAUCUAGCCAUGGGCAGGUUGAAGGUUGGGUAACACUAACUGGAGGACCGAACCGACUAAUGUUGAAAAAUUAGCGGAUGACCUGUGGCUGGGGGUGAAAGGCCAAUCAAACCGGGAGAUAGCUGGUUCUCCCCGAAAGCUAUUUAGGUAGCGCCUCGUGAAUUCAUCUCCGGGGGUAGAGCACUGUUUCGGCUAGGGGGCCAUCCCGGCUUACCAACCCGAUGCAAACUGCGAAUACCGGAGAAUGUUAUCACGGGAGACACACGGCGGGUGCUAACGUCCGUCGUGAAGAGGGAAACAACCCAGACCGCCAGCUAAGGUCCCAAAGUCAUGGUUAAGUGGGAAACGAUGUGGGAAGGCCCAGACAGCCAGGAUGUUGGCUUAGAAGCAGCCAUCAUUUAAAGAAAGCGUAAUAGCUCACUGGUCGAGUCGGCCUGCGCGGAAGAUGUAACGGGGCUAAACCAUGCACCGAAGCUGCGGCAGCGACACUAUGUGUUGUUGGGUAGGGGAGCGUUCUGUAAGCCUGUGAAGGUGGCCUGUGAGGGUUGCUGGAGGUAUCAGAAGUGCGAAUGCUGACAUAAGUAACGAUAAAGCGGGUGAAAAGCCCGCUCGCCGGAAGACCAAGGGUUCCUGUCCAACGUUAAUCGGGGCAGGGUGAGUCGACCCCUAAGGCGAGGCCGAAAGGCGUAGUCGAUGGGAAACGGGUUAAUAUUCCCGUACUUGGUGUUACUGCGAAGGGGGGACGGAGAAGGCUAUGUUGGCCGGGCGACGGUUGUCCCGGUUUAAGCGUGUAGGCUGGUUUUCCAGGCAAAUCCGGAAAAUCAAGGCUGAGGCGUGACGACGAGGCACUACGGUGCUGAAGCAACAAAUGCCCUGCUUCCAGGAAAAGCCUCUAAGCAUCAGGUAACAUCAAAUCGUACCCCAAACCGACACAGGUGGUCAGGUAGAGAAUACCAAGGCGCUUGAGAGAACUCGGGUGAAGGAACUAGGCAAAAUGGUGCCGUAACUUCGGGAGAAGGCACGCUGACAUGUAGGUGAAGUGAUUUACUCAUGGAGCUGAAGUCAGUCGAAGAUACCAGCUGGCUGCAACUGUUUAUUAAAAACACAGCACUGUGCAAACACGAAAGUGGACGUAUACGGUGUGACGCCUGCCCGGUGCCGGAAGGUUAAUUGAUGGGGUCAGCGCAAGCGAAGCUCCUGAUCGAAGCCCCGGUAAACGGCGGCCGUAACUAUAACGGUCCUAAGGUAGCGAAAUUCCUUGUCGGGUAAGUUCCGACCUGCACGAAUGGCGUAAUGAUGGCCAGGCUGUCUCCACCCGAGACUCAGUGAAAUUGAACUCGCUGUGAAGAUGCAGUGUACCCGCGGCAAGACGGAAAGACCCCGUGAACCUUUACUAUAGCUUGACACUGAACAUUGAGCCUUGAUGUGUAGGAUAGGUGGGAGGCUUUGAAGUGUGGACGCCAGUCUGCAUGGAGCCGGCCUUGAAAUACCACCCUUUAAUGUUUGAUGUUCUAACGUGGACCCGUAAUCCGGGUUGCGGACAGUGUCUGGUGGGUAGUUUGACUGGGGCGGUCUCCUCCUAAAGAGUAACGGAGGAGCACGAAGGUUGGCUAAUCCUGGUCGGACAUCAGGAGGUUAGUGCAAUGGCAUAAGCCAGCUUGACUGCGAGCGUGACGGCGCGAGCAGGUGCGAAAGCAGGUCAUAGUGAUCCGGUGGUUCUGAAUGGAAGGGCCAUCGCUCAACGGAUAAAAGGUACUCCGGGGAUAACAGGCUGAUACCGCCCAAGAGUUCAUAUCGACGGCGGUGUUUGGCACCUCGAUGUCGGCUCAUCACAUCCUGGGGCUGAAGUAGGUCCCAAGGGUAUGGCUGUUCGCCAUUUAAAGUGGUACGCGAGCUGGGUUUAGAACGUCGUGAGACAGUUCGGUCCCUAUCUGCCGUGGGCGCUGGAGAACUGAGGGGGGCUGCUCCUAGUACGAGAGGACCGGAGUGGACGCAUCACUGGUGUUCGGGUUGUCAUGCCAAUGGCACUGCCCGGUAGCUAAAUGCGGAAGAGAUAAGUGCUGAAAGCAUCUAAGCACGAAACUUGCCCCGAGAUGAGUUCUCCCUGAGACUUUAGGUCUCCUGAAGGAACGUUGAAGACGACGACGUUGAUAGGCCGGGUGUGUAAGCGCAGCGAUGCGUUGAGCUAACCGGUACUAAUGAACCGUGAGGCUUAACCUUACAACGCCGAAG